This 867-nucleotide ribosomal RNA is filed under the name uncultured bacterium. RNAcentral's name for it is "bacterial SSU rRNA". It matches the Rfam family "Bacterial small subunit ribosomal RNA", at positions 583 to 1451 of the family's 1533-position model. The record is from RNAcentral.
UUAAGCAGGAUGUGAANUCCCCGGGCUCAACCUGGGAACUGCGUUNUGAACUGGGUGACUAGAGUGUGUCAGAGGGAGGUAGAAUUCCACGUGUAGCAGUGAAAUGCGUAGAGAUGUGGAGGAAUACCGAUGGCGAAGGCAGCCUCCUGGGAUAACACUGACGUUCAUGCUCGAAAGCGUGGGUAGCAAACAGGAUUAGAUACCCUGGUAGUCCACGCCCUAAACGAUGUCAAUUAGCUGUUGGGCAACUUGAUUGCUUAGUAGCGUAGCUAACGCGUGAAAUUGACCGCCUGGGGAAUACGGUCGCAAGAUUAAAACUCAAAGGAAUUGACGGGGACCCGCACAAGCGGUGGAUGAUGUGGAUUAAUUCGAUGCAACGCGAAGAACCUUACCUGGUCUUGACAUGUACGGAAUCCUCCAGAGACGGAGGAGUGCCUUCGGGAGCCGUAACACAGGUGCUGCAUGGCUGUCGUCAGCUCGUGUCGUGAGAUGUUGGGUUAAGUCCCGCAACGAGCGCAACCCUUGUCAUUAGUUGCCAUCAUUUAGUUGGGCACUCUAAUGAGACUGCCGGUGACAAGCCGGAGGAAGGUGGGGAUGACGUCAAGUCCUCAUGGCCCUUAUGACCAGGGCUUCACACGUCAUACAAUGGUCGGUACAGAGGGUAGCCAAGCCGCGAGGUGGAGCCAAUCUCACAAAACCGAUCGUAGUCCGGAUUGCACUCUGCAACUCGAGUGCAUGAAGUCGGAAUCGCUAGUAAUCGCAGGUCAGCAUACUGCGGUGAAUACGUUCCCGGGUCUUGUACACACCGCCCGUCACACCAUGGGAGUGGGGGAUACCAGAAGUAGGUAGGGUAACCGCAAGGAGCCC